AAAGAAUUAGUUAAAGUAAUAUAACAUUAAAAUGUCAUUUUAAAAUUAUUAAAUAUUUAAUAUUUUUUA
Molecule: transfer RNA, 69 nt
Filed under: Mellinus arvensis (field digger wasp)
Lineage: Eukaryota; Metazoa; Arthropoda; Insecta; Hymenoptera; Crabronidae
Description: tRNA-Asp
Source: RNAcentral